Molecule: small nuclear RNA, 107 nt
Filed under: Tursiops truncatus (common bottlenose dolphin)
Lineage: Eukaryota; Metazoa; Chordata; Mammalia; Artiodactyla; Delphinidae
Source: RNAcentral
GUGCUAGCUUUGGCAGCAUGUAUACUAAAAUUAGAAUGAUUCAGAGAAGAUUAGCGUGGCCCCUAAGCAAGGAUGACAUGCAAAUUUGUGAAGCUUUCCACAUUUUU